GGGUGCGAUCAUACGAGCACUAAUGCACCGGAUCCCAUCAUAACUCCGAUGUUCAGCGUGCUUGGGCCGAGAGUAGUACUAGGAUGGGUGACCUCCGGUGCAAGUCCCUCAUGUUGCACCCC
Molecule: ribosomal RNA, 122 nt
Filed under: Eucalyptus grandis
Lineage: Eukaryota; Viridiplantae; Streptophyta; Magnoliopsida; Myrtales; Myrtaceae
Source: RNAcentral